UUGUACACAAUUUUGUUGCACGCUGCCA
RNAcentral lists this non-coding RNA (28 nucleotides) under Rattus norvegicus (Norway rat). Lineage: Eukaryota; Metazoa; Chordata; Mammalia; Rodentia; Muridae. The record is from RNAcentral.